RNAcentral lists this ribosomal RNA (449 nucleotides) under uncultured bacterium. Its description in RNAcentral is "partial 16S ribosomal RNA". It matches the Rfam family "Bacterial small subunit ribosomal RNA", at positions 29 to 523 of the family's 1533-position model. The record is from RNAcentral.
AACGAACGCUGGCGGCAUGCCUAACACAUGCAAGUCGAACGAGAUCUUCGGGUCUAGUGGCGCACGGGUGCGUAACGCGUGGGAAUCUGCCCUUUGGUUCGGAACAACAGUUGGAAACGACUGCUAAUACCGGAUGAUGACGGAAGUCCAAAGAUUUAUCGCCAGAGGAUGAGCCCGCGUAGGAUUAGCUAGUUGGUGUGGUAAAGGCGCACCAAGGCGACGAUCCUUAGCUGGUCUGAGAGGAUGAUCAGCCACACUGGGACUGAGACACGGCCCAGACUCCUACGGGAGGCAGCAGUGGGGAAUAUUGGACAAUGGGCGAAAGCCUGAUCCAGCAAUGCCGCGUGAGUGAUGAAGGCCUUAGGGUUGUAAAGCUCUUUUACCCGGGAUGAUAAUGACAGUACCGGGAGAAUAAGCUCCGGCUAACUCCGUGCCAGCAGCCGCCGUAA